CACGGACUUCGGUCUGGUGGCGAGUGGCGAACGGGUGAGUAAUAUAUCGGAACGUACCCUGGAGUGGGGGAUAACGCAGCGAAAGUUGCGCUAAUACCGCAUACGAUCUACGGAUGAAAGUGGGGGCUCGCAAGACCUCAUGCUCGUGGAGCGGCCGAUAUCUGAUUAGCUAGUUGGUAGGGUAAAAGCCUACCAAGGCAUCGAUCAGUAGCUGGUCUGAGAGGACGACCAGCCACACUGGGACUGAGACACGGUCCAGACUCCUACGGGAGGCAGCAGUGGGGAAUUUUGCGCAAUGGGCGAAAGCCUGACGCAGCAACGCCGCGUGUGUGAUGAAGGUCUUCGGA
RNAcentral lists this ribosomal RNA (347 nucleotides) under uncultured bacterium. RNAcentral describes it as "bacterial SSU rRNA". It matches the Rfam family "Bacterial small subunit ribosomal RNA", at positions 72 to 422 of the family's 1533-position model. The record is from RNAcentral.